Molecule: ribosomal RNA, 253 nt
Filed under: uncultured bacterium
Lineage: Bacteria
Description: partial 16S ribosomal RNA
Rfam family: Bacterial small subunit ribosomal RNA
Source: RNAcentral
UACGGAGGGGGCUAGCGUUGUUCGGAAUUACUGGGCGUAAAGCGCACGUAGGCGGACUGUUAAGUCGGGGGUGAAAUCCUGGGGCUCAACCUCAGAAUUGCCUCCGAUACUGGCGGUCUCGAGUGCGGGAGAGGUGAGUGGAAUUCCCAGUGUAGAGGUGAAAUUCGUAGAUAUUGGGAAGAACACCAGUGGCGAAGGCGGCUCACUGGCCCGUAACUGACGCUGAGGUGCGAAAGCGUGGGGAGCAAACAGG